GACCCACCUACUGACGAUGAAAUUGUGGGACUCCUGGGCAACAUGCUCGAGCUAGUCGGCAAAUCUUCACAAUGAUAAGUCCAUCUCUUGUAAGUCACAUCUAUACCGUGUUCGUAUAAAUGAUUUUGAAUGUCCGAUAGGGUACACCAAAAUAUAUUUCUACAUCGAUGACAUGGACAACGAGCUUUUUCAUCUUCUCUAGUGUG
Molecule: long non-coding RNA, 206 nt
Filed under: Elaeis guineensis (African oil palm)
Lineage: Eukaryota; Viridiplantae; Streptophyta; Magnoliopsida; Arecales; Arecaceae
Description: long non-coding RNA (EGUI_LNC073125)
Source: RNAcentral